Molecule: long non-coding RNA, 2851 nt
Organism: Passer domesticus (house sparrow)
Lineage: Eukaryota; Metazoa; Chordata; Aves; Passeriformes; Passeridae
Exons: 3
Source: RefSeq, a predicted model, not a curated record
AUAAAGGCAUUAAAAAGGAGAAAGAUCUCCUGCCCAUUUAUUUCAUGAGUUGCUGGGGAAACUGCUCCCAGAGGGACCUGGGGGAUCUGUGCACUCUCUGCACUCAACUGGUGCCAUCCCCCUCCGUGUGCCACAGGGUGCUGCUGGGGAAGCUUCUGGAGUGUCCCUAGGGUACAGCCCAGUGCUGUUGCCCUCAGCAGUGACACACCCACCUCCUCCCUAAAUUGAGCUUCAGACCUCCUGAGCACGGGCCACAUCUGUUAGGGGCCACUGAAUUAUGCAGAAGGGGUUUUCCCUUUAUACUAGUGGGUUUAUUUUCCCAUACAUUUUCCCAUGCUGAUAGUUCCAUUUUCCCAGCAUGUCUGACUUGUGCCUUCUCAGUACCUCUGCAGGAACAGGAGCAGGAGCUAAACAUGUGCUUAAUUGCCUCACUUACAAACUGUUUAAAAUUCUUAGAUAAUUGAUGUCUGAUAGAUUGGUUUUUCUUGUCUGCUGAAACUAAAUUAGGCUAACACCAGCCAGGGGUGGCUGGUGAGUCAUUCUUCCAGUCCUGGGAAAGUCUGUGUUGGCAGAAUAUUCAACAACAACCAUCACCAAAUCCCGUGCUUCAGAAAGGGGCCACUUCUCAGGUUCUUGCCUUGUCUUCUGAACAUCACCUUAUCUUCUGACCAAGCUUCCUCCUUAGCCUGAGUUGGAUACAGAACCUGGCUCCUCUGGUUGCUUUUGCUGGACCUUUGCAUCGCCUGACUCUGUUCUGGCCCCAGCCACUUGGCCAGCACCAUGGCUCUGUGCUUUUCCUAGAAGUUCCUGAGUGCUAAGCCAUGGCUGGACCAGCUGGAGCACAAAGCCAAGUACUGUGCAAACUCAUCAGGAAAACUACUGAGCUGUUCUGUCAGGGAGUGCUGCCCACGUGGGUGAGAGGUGCUCAGAGGAGGUGGAGUGCCUUGAGAUAAAUUGCUCAUCCAGGAAGAAAGGCAGUAGGCUGGAAAGCUGAUUCCCUCACAUCAGCCUCUACCCUGCCUGGCAAGGCUCCAAGGAACAUCUGAGCCUUUUCUGACAUGAGCUGGGAGGAAGGCUCUGAAGCAAACCUGGGAAAGGCUACAUGAUGGCGAGCUUACUCAAUCCUGAAAACUGUAUCCAUGCCAAACAAGCUUCUUUCAGUUACAAGAAUUUGUGAGCUACACACUUCUCCCAUAAAACACCAGAGAUCUGUCUUCUGUGGGGCUUUGUUCCUCCUUUGACAGCUUACAGACCAUCAAGUUCUGCUUCUAAAUUAAGAGGUAUCUCAUUGCUUUUUAGUUGUACUGUAAAGUUCUUGAUGACUUCAGUAAUUAGUGUUUAUACUUCCCCAGGCCUGCGUAGAUGCACUUUAACAUUGCAUAAGGAGAUGAAGCACUCCACAACAGAGUAUGCAUUGCUCCCAGGAUUUCUAGUUUUACAUCCUCAAGUUUUGUAGAGCCUUGCUGAGGGAGUGUCCCCACAAACUGCAUCAUGGGUAACCUGGUGUAGUAAUUUUGAGUGGAUUUUGCAGCACAGAUGCAGAAAAAUAUUCACAGGAAGAUACCAGGAUCAUGUACAUCUCACUGCACCAAGGAACUUUUCAACUACAAACACUUGUUUGUUAGUGCUAUGAUCAACUGUCAAUUGUAGGACUUAAAAAAAAAUAAAUGUCUGAUUUGGCUGCCUUCAGCAUUUCUUUGUUAUCGACAACAUUUCUGUAAAAUGUUGGAUCAACUUCUAGAAACAUCAAAAUUCAUGCUAGAAAUUAAUUCCACCCUACUGGCAUCUGUUCCAGAUAUCCUUUGUGAUUGCCUGAUUAUUAUCCAAGGCUGGUUUCUGCUGAAGGUAUUACCUGCAGGUGCAAGUGCUGCAUUAAGCUGAGCAGGCACAGGGCUGUACACAUCUGUGCUGCCUCCUUUCCCUGGGAGAUGUGAAUCACUGCUGUGGUGGGCACAGCUGGUCUUCACACCACCCGUCCUGAUCAUCGACCACAGCCUCACCACACUGCCUAACCUGGGCUGUGGAGUUUCUCUUGUUUGGUUAAAUACCUCUUUAUACUUCCAUGGACUCCUUCCAAAUGAAACUCAAUUGAGUAGUUAAUAAUAUGGAGGGAGAGUUAAGCUUUUUAAGUUCUGCAUGCUUUUGUGCCAAUUAUUCCAUCAAAGACUGGCUCGCUUUGUUGCUACAGAGCUUCUCAGCGAGGCAUGACCUUGGUUUAUUAAAUAAUACAUGUAUUUCUGAGAGCAACUUAUGUAAGAGUAGGCCUAUCCAGCAAGUCUGAUGUUUGACCACUCAGUGUAUGAAAGCAAACACUGAAUAAAGAGUGCCCUGCUCAGUACCUGGGUAAGAGGGACAGGCAGCCUCACAGUGGCUGCACUUGUCUCUCAGCCACCAUUGCUGCCUUUACUAUUUCCUCUCAGGGUGCUGCAGCACAGUUUCCUUGCGGCCUCUUGGAUAUCUCAGCACAUGCUCAACACAUGGCUGGUGCAUCUGCUGGCUUAAUGCUGGCCUGGACUUUGCAGGGCAAACAAUAAAUUUCUGCCCCCAGAGAUGGCAACAGCACUGCCUCUUGUGCUGGUGUGAGCUGUACCCACCAGUAAGGAGCUAAUGGGAUCUGAAGUUCCUGCUCCUUCCUUCUCCACCUCCUCCUCCUCCCCUUCUCCCCUGGCUGGGGUUUGGGGCUGCACAGGCUGUCAGUGACACAGGGCAGGUGGUGCAGGCUGUCUUGGGGUACCUGCAACUUCUCUGAAACCACUUUCAUACCACACGCAGGGCAAUACAGUGAUCAGUCUCUCUGCUCCCUUUGGAGAAAAGCAAAUCUGUUAGCUUUAAAUCUCAGAAGUAAUUUUCA